UAUGCAUGUCUGGUAAGCUCAGAGGCAGCAUUUAGUCCUCGGGGAUGUUUGUCACAUUGAAGUACUCUUUCAUUUAGGUGCAAAUCAAGGUCCAAAGCCUUGCGUGUUAUAUAUCAGCUGCACUUGUCUCUUGCUUGUACCACCGGAGAAUCUAAACUGGCAGAGGUCAACGAAGAGCACGACACGCGGUGCAGCCUCGUCACAGGGACAGCUGCUACUUUUCUCCCCACGUGUGGCAAACCCUGAGCUCCAUCCUCCGUUCCUCUCCCCGGGCUGAGGUGGGAAAAACGUGCAGAAAUUAAACAUCGGUGCAUGCCCCCAACCAGCAAGGCAGUGUGCUGUGAGUGGGGGAGGAUCCGGAGGAAUUGCCCAUCUAUCCAGGUGCUAUUUUGUGAAGAAUGCUUUGCUUUUCUCUGCAUCCCCUCUGUGCAGCAAGGUGAGACCACUACAGUGAAUCUAUCUAUUUAUUUACUAUCUAUCUAUAUUUAUUUAAGAGAACCUCUUUGAAAACCCAUCUGCACACCCAGAACCAACUCCCCCUCCCCCCCCCACCCAGCCACGACAGCAGGGGAGGAUCAAAAUAACAAGCUCAGGGCCGGGAGCUGAGUUCCUGGGGGAGCUGCUAUCACCGAGCACUGCCAGGCACAGAACUCCCACUAAUUAGAUGGAACAGUUAUGUGACAAAACCCACGCGGGGGCUGCUGAGGGGGCUGCUGGUGGGAUUUGUGGCAGAGCGGAUUUUCAGGCAGCUGAAGGAAUGCGUCCCACGUGCACUGUGUGAAUCUCCGUCCUUUGCUGGGGCUGAGGGCUCAAUGUGGGGGGCGUGGAGGCACGUGGGGCUGAUCCAGGGGAGCCAUCCUUGAGCACAGGCUGGAUCCUGAGGGCUCGGGAUGUGGAUUCCUUACAGACCCCUUGCCAUGAGAGUGAGAAAUGAAUGGGAAGAGGCAAAUGCUUCAGCAGGGUGAUGCCAGGAGGCCGUGGCAUCAGACCCAACGGAACGGGGUUCUGGCGCUACAAACCCUGCAGUAUCUAUCCAGCAAACGCCCAAACAUCCUCCAGGUUAUUUUCAUUCUCUUUUCCUUUGGAAAAUGGAAAAAUAAAGCCCUCCCACACGCGGGAAACCAAGGCCAUCAAUGAGAGCCCGCCGCUCAUCACAAGAGCUGCUUAGAGAGCAGCGAGCCGUGUUUACCAGCACUCUGGAAACGAGCGUGAGAGCGCACGUUAAAAUCCUAAUUAAAGGCGCAGCCUUUCUCCUCCUGCGAGCGCUGCCCGGCGUGGCGGCUCCAGCUGUGCCAGAUGUGCCCGCAGGUCUCCCACACGGAGACGCGUCCCGCCCACGCA
Molecule: long non-coding RNA, 1341 nt
Filed under: Gallus gallus (chicken)
Lineage: Eukaryota; Metazoa; Chordata; Aves; Galliformes; Phasianidae
Description: lncRNA (ENSGALG00010025196.1)
Source: RNAcentral